UACGGCCAGAUCUCAUUAAAUCACUAGUUCCCAUACGGUCACCGAAGUUAAGCAAUGUUGAUCCUGGUCAGUACCUAGAUGUGUGACCGCUUGGGAAUACCAGGUGCUGUAAG
This 113-nucleotide ribosomal RNA is filed under the name Acanthosepion pharaonis. Lineage: Eukaryota; Metazoa; Mollusca; Cephalopoda; Sepiida; Sepiidae. The record is from RNAcentral.